GGUCGCGUAGCUCAGCUGGAUAGAGCAUCUGCCUUCUAAGCAGACGGUCAAAGGUUCGAAUCCUUUCGCGAUCACAA
RNAcentral lists this transfer RNA (77 nucleotides) under Cellulophaga lytica. RNAcentral describes it as "tRNA-Arg". It matches the Rfam family "tRNA". Rfam says of the family: Transfer RNA (tRNA) molecules are approximately 80 nucleotides in length. Their secondary structure includes four short double-helical elements and three loops (D, anti-codon, and T loops). Further hydrogen bonds mediate the characteristic L-shaped molecular structure. tRNAs have two regions of fundamental functional importance: the anti-codon, which is responsible for specific mRNA codon recognition, and the 3' end, to which the tRNAs corresponding amino acid is attached (by aminoacyl-tRNA synthetases). tRNAs cope with the degeneracy of the genetic code in two manners: having more than one tRNA (with a specific anti-codon) for a particular amino acid; and 'wobble' base-pairing, i.e. permitting non-standard base-pairing at the 3rd anti-codon position. RNAcentral also lists the same sequence under 11 other names. Lineage: Bacteria; Pseudomonadati; Bacteroidota; Flavobacteriia; Flavobacteriales; Flavobacteriaceae. The record is from RNAcentral.